GAUGAAGAACGUAGCGAAAUGCGAUAAGUAAUGUGAAUUGCAGAAUUCAGUGAAUCAUCGAAUCUUUGAACGCACAUUGCGCCCGCCAGUAUUCUGGCGGGCAUGCCUGUUCGAGCGUCAUUUCAACCAUCAAGCCCCCGGCUUGUGUUGGGGACCUGCGGCUGCCGCAGGCCCUGAAAACCAGUGGCGGGCUCGCUAGUCACUCCGAGCGUAGUAAUACAUCUCGCUCAGGGCGUGCUGCGGGUUCCGGCCGUUAAAAAGCCUUAUUUACCCAAGGUUGACCUCGGAUCAGGUAGGAAGAACCGCUGAACUUAAGCAUAUCAAUAAGCGGAGGA
RNAcentral lists this unclassified non-coding RNA (335 nucleotides) under soil metagenome. Its description in RNAcentral is "partial contains 5.8S ribosomal RNA, internal transcribed spacer 2, and large subunit ribosomal RNA". The stretch from base 1 to 120 matches the Rfam family "5.8S ribosomal RNA", at positions 35 to 154 of the family's 154-position model. The record is from RNAcentral.